UGGGGAAUAUUGCACAAUGGGCGCAAGCCUGAUGCAGCGACGCCGCGUGGGGGAUGACGGCCUUCGGGUUGUAAACUCCUUUCGCUAGGGACGAAGCUUUUGGUGACGGUACCUAGAUAAGAAGAACCGGCUAACUACGUGCCAGCAGCCGCGGUAAUACGUAGGGUGCGAGCGUUGUCCGGAAUUACUGGGCGUAAAGGGCUCGUAGGUGGUUUGUCGCGUCGUCUGUGAAAUUCCGGGGCUUAACUCCGGGCGUGCAGGCGAUACGGGCAUAACUUGAGUACUGUAGGGGUAACUGGAAUUCCUGGUGUAGCGGUGAAAUGCGCAGAUAUCAGGAGGAACACCGAUGGCGAAGGCAGGUUACUGGGCAGUUACUGACGCUGAGGAGCGAAAGCAUGGGUAGCGAACAGG
This 411-nucleotide ribosomal RNA is filed under the name Actinomycetes bacterium. Its description in RNAcentral is "Actinobacteria bacterium partial 16S ribosomal RNA". It matches the Rfam family "Bacterial small subunit ribosomal RNA", at positions 355 to 776 of the family's 1533-position model. Lineage: Bacteria; Bacillati; Actinomycetota; Actinomycetes. The record is from RNAcentral.